This 299-nucleotide ribosomal RNA is filed under the name Neocalanus flemingeri. RNAcentral describes it as "partial 16S rRNA". Lineage: Eukaryota; Metazoa; Arthropoda; Copepoda; Calanoida; Calanidae. The record is from RNAcentral.
AAUUAGUUUUUUAAUUGGAAAAUGGAAUGAAUGGUACCACUAAGAUAUCUUUUUUAGGACAUGUUUCGAAAUUUUAGUUUAAGUGAAAAUACUUAAGAACGUUUUUAAGACGAGAAGACCCUAUGAAGCUGAUAGAUCCUAAACAUUAUUAACGAUCUUGACAGAAAUCUAUUUUUUGGGGUAAAAAUUAAAAUUAUUAUUUAAAUUUAUAUAUAUUAAGUGAGCCUCUUGGAAUAAUAAAAAAGCUCCUCUAGGGAUAACAGCAUUAUACCUAUAAGAGUUCUUAUCAGAAUAGGUGU